UUCCUACGGGAGGCAGCAGUGAGGAAUAUUGGUCAAUGGCCGAGAGGCUGAACCAGCCAAGUCGCGUGAGGGAAGACGGCCCUACGGGUUGUAAACCUCUUUUGUCGGGGAGCAAAGCGAGUCACGUGUGACUCAUUGAGAGUACCCGAAGAAAAAGCAUCGGCUAACUCCGUGCCAGCAGCCGCGGUAAUACGGAGGAUGCGAGCGUUAUCCGUAUUUAUUGGGCGUAAAGGGAACGCAGGCGGUCUUUUCAGUCUGAU
This 260-nucleotide ribosomal RNA is filed under the name uncultured bacterium. RNAcentral's name for it is "partial 16S ribosomal RNA". It matches the Rfam family "Bacterial small subunit ribosomal RNA", at positions 336 to 593 of the family's 1533-position model. The record is from RNAcentral.